RNAcentral lists this ribosomal RNA (253 nucleotides) under uncultured bacterium. Its description in RNAcentral is "partial 16S ribosomal RNA". It matches the Rfam family "Bacterial small subunit ribosomal RNA", at positions 524 to 776 of the family's 1533-position model. The record is from RNAcentral.
UACGUAGGCGGCAAGCGUUAUCCGGAAUUAUUGGGCGUAAAGAGCGCGCAGGUGGUUAAUUAAGUCUGAUGUGAAAGCCCACGGCUUAACCGUGGAGGGUCAUUGGAAACUGGUUGACUUGAGUGUAGAAGAGGGAAGUGGAAUUCCAUGUGUAGCGGUGAAAUGCGUAGAGAUAUGGAGGAACACCAGUGGCGAAGGCGGCUUCCUGGUCUGCAACUGACACUGAGGCGCGAAAGCGUGGGGAGCAAACAGG